CGUAGGAGGCAAGCGUUAUCCGGAGUUACUGGGCGUAAAGCGCGUGUAGGUGGAUUGGUAAGUUACCUAUAAAAGCUCCUGGCUAAACUAGGAGAGGUUGAGUGAUACUGCCAGUCUUGAAUAGAGGAGAGGUUGACGGAAUUCCGCGUGUAGUGGUGAAAUGCGUAGAGAUGCGGAAGAACACCAGUGGCGAAGGCGGUCAACUGGCCUCAUAUUGACACUCAGACGCGAAAGCAUGGGUAGCGAACGGGAUUAGAAACCCCGGUAGUCCAUGCCAUAAACGAUGCAUACUGAAUGUUCGUUGUCCUACGGGGCAAUGAGUGUUGAAGCUAACGCGUUAAGUAUGCCGCCUGGGGAGUACGGUCGCAAGGCUA
Molecule: ribosomal RNA, 374 nt
Filed under: uncultured organism
Description: bacterial SSU rRNA
Rfam family: Bacterial small subunit ribosomal RNA
Source: RNAcentral